Molecule: ribosomal RNA, 508 nt
Filed under: uncultured bacterium
Lineage: Bacteria
Description: partial 16S ribosomal RNA
Rfam family: Bacterial small subunit ribosomal RNA
Source: RNAcentral
AUUGAACGCUGGCGGCAUGCCUUACACAUGCAAGUCGAACGGCAGCGGGGGAGAAGCUUGCUUUUCCUGCCGGCGAGUGGCGAACGGGUGAGUAAUACAUCGGAACGUGCCCUGUAGUGGGGGAUAACUAGUCGAAAGAUUAGCUAAUACCGCAUACGACCUGAGGGUGAAAGUGGGGGACCGCAAGGCCUCAUGCUAUAGGAGCGGCCGAUGUCUGAUUAGCUAGUUGGUGGGGUAAAGGCCUACCAAGGCGACGAUCAGUAGCUGGUCUGAGGGGACGAUCAGCCACACUGGGACUGAGACACGGCCCAGACUCCUACGGGAGUCAGCAGUGGGGAAUUUUGGACAAUGGGCGAAAGCCUGAUCCAGCAAUGCCGCGUGUGUGAAGAAGGCCUUCGGGUUGUAAAGCACUUUUGUCCGGAAAGAAAUGGCUCUGGUUAAUACCUGGGGUCGAUGACGGUACCGGAAGAAUAAGGACCGGCUAACUACGUGCCAGCAGCCGCCGUAA